AGAUUGAACGCUGGCGGCAUGCCUUACACAUGCAAGUCGAACGGCAGCGCGGGGGCAACCCUGGCGGCGAGUGGCGAACGGGUGAGUAAUAUAUCGGAACGUGCCCUGGAGUGGGGGAUAACGUAGCGAAAGUUACGCUAAUACCGCAUACGAUCUAAGGAUGAAAGUGGGGGAUCGCAAGACCUCAUGCUCCUGGAGCGGCCGAUAUCUGAUUAGCUAGUUGGUAGGGUAAAAGCCUACCAAGGCAUCGAUCAGUAGCUGGUCUGAGAGGACGACCAGCCACACUGGGACUGAGACACGGCCCAGACUCCUACGGGAGGCAGCAGUGGGGAAUUUUGGAACAAGUGGGGACAACCCUGACUCCAGCAAUCGCGCGUGAGUGAAGAAGGCCUUCGGUAGAAGUCUCUUUUGUACGAGGUAACGAACGUUACCUUUACUAA
This 440-nucleotide ribosomal RNA is filed under the name uncultured soil bacterium. RNAcentral describes it as "bacterial SSU rRNA". It matches the Rfam family "Bacterial small subunit ribosomal RNA", at positions 26 to 465 of the family's 1533-position model. The record is from RNAcentral.